This 30-nucleotide small RNA is filed under the name Bombyx mori (domestic silkworm). RNAcentral's name for it is "ovarian small RNA-16417". The record is from RNAcentral. Lineage: Eukaryota; Metazoa; Arthropoda; Insecta; Lepidoptera; Bombycidae.
GCACUCUAUGAGACGUGCCCCGUUGGCCGU